GAAAUUGACCCUUGCACUACAGCAAUGUCUUUGGGCACUGGAGGACAGAGGCAAAUCUACUGUGAAGAUCUUUCCAAGCAGGGAGCCAACCACACCUGGGAGAAGAAGGUGUCCUGGUACCACAGAGUGCUGUGGAUCCUGCUUGAGUGGGGAGGUGCCCAUGGACAGGUCAUCAGUGGAUUUUGGGACUACAAGAGAACAGUUUGUGUUGUCUGCCAUACUGGAUACACUUGGUACGUGACUUUUAAUAUUUCAUUAUUAUUAUUAACCUAUAUUUUACUACCUAGAUGUGAAAUGGUAAUCUCAAAAACUUCCAGAAAGUUAGAAACAGACAAAAAGCUUUGUAUUCAGCCCAUUAGUCUUUAGCCAAAUAUGUAUUUUCUAGUGGAAAAAAUUAUACACGUUUAUGAUCAUACAAAAAUAUUCAUUUUAAAGCCCUUAAUGCUCAGGCAUCCAAUGAAUGCCUAUUAUUCAUCUUUUUUUUAGUUAAGAGGCUGUUGUUUGAACUAGGGAAGUUUUAUAACUGCCAGAUGGAUUGCUCUUAAAAAAUGUCUAAAUGUUUACUGAUUGUUUUCAGCUGAUUGGUGAAGAGCAGGGUGGCCACAGGUAUGUCAGAAAUGAGGCUAAUAAGAGAGGGGAAAUUGCUCCAAGGGCCUUGCUGGCUGCAUCCCCCACCCCAAGCAGGCUGGGCUGGAGGUCACCAGCAUGCUGCAGAGCUGGCCUGGGCAAAGAAAACCAAAGCACUUCAGAGAAAUAUCUUGUCCUGCCUGGCCACAAAAGCAGCCCUUCUCUCAUGUUGCUGUUUCCUCCUUCGGUUUGGAGGCAGAGCCUAUCUGGCUUUAAUAAAUAUAUAAAUAUAUAUGCA
This 865-nucleotide long non-coding RNA is filed under the name Anser cygnoides (Swan goose). Its description in RNAcentral is "lncRNA (ENSACDG00005008967.1)". The record is from RNAcentral. Lineage: Eukaryota; Metazoa; Chordata; Aves; Anseriformes; Anatidae.